Molecule: long non-coding RNA, 316 nt
Filed under: Lathyrus oleraceus (garden pea)
Lineage: Eukaryota; Viridiplantae; Streptophyta; Magnoliopsida; Fabales; Fabaceae
Description: Pisum sativum (pea) long non-coding RNA (PSAT_LNC014120)
Source: RNAcentral
GCAAAUUUAAAAAGGGAUACAUGACAUUGCAAAUUCAUACAUACACCACAUUACACUUUUUUUUUUCCUUUUGUCCAUACAUGUUAACAAUUUGAUUUCAUCAUAUUAUACAUACAUACAUAAUAAAAACAAUUUUAAAAAAAGAGAAUUAAAAAAUAAGGAAAAGGAAAAAGUUAAGUCAUUGUUCAUGAGGCCCACACAUGAGUCCAUUGCUUCAAAUUUGCAGCAUGCCUUCAUCAUCUCAAGCCAUGUGAAUCUUCAUCCCAUCAAUAUCCUACUUACACAAAUAAAUAAACCAAAAUAAAUAAACUAAAAU